GGUUAAGCGACUAAGCGUACACGGUGGAUGCCCUGGCAGUCAGAGGCGAUGAAGGACGUGCUAAUCUGCGAUAAGCGUCGGUAAGGUGAUAUGAACCGUUAUAACCGGCGAUUUCCGAAUGGGGAAACCCAGUGUGUUUCGACACACUAUCAUUAACUGAAUCCAUAGGUUAAUGAGGCGAACCGGGGGAACUGAAACAUCUAAGUACCUCGAGGAAAAGAAAUCAACCGAGAUUCCCCCAGUAGCGGCGAGCGAACGGGGAGCAGCCCAGAGCCUGAAUCAGUGUGUGUGUUAGUGGAAGCGUCUGGAAAGGCGUGCGAUACAGGGUGACAGCCCCGUACACAAAAAUGCACAUGCUGUGAGCUCGAUGAGUAGGGCGGGACACGUGGUAUCCUGUCUGAAUAUGGGGGGACCAUCCUCCAAGGCUAAAUACUCCUGACUGACCGAUAGUGAACCAGUACCGUGAGGGAAAGGCGAAAAGAACCCCGGCGAGGGGAGUGAAAAAGAACCUGAAACCGUGUACGUACAAGCAGUGGGAGCACGCUUAGGCGUGUGACUGCGUACCUUUUGUAUAAUGGGUCAGCGACUUAUAUUCUGUAGCAAGGUUAACCGAAUAGGGGAGCCGAAGGGAAACCGAGUCUUAACUGGGCGUUAAGUUGCAGGGUAUAGACCCGAAACCCGGUGAUCUAGCCAUGGGCAGGUUGAAGGUUGGGUAACACUAACUGGAGGACCGAACCGACUAAUGUUGAAAAAUUAGCGGAUGACUUGUGGCUGGGGGUGAAAGGCCAAUCAAACCGGGAGAUAGCUGGUUCUCCCCGAAAGCUAUUUAGGUAGCGCCUCGUGAAUUCAUCUCCGGGGGUAGAGCACUGUUUCGGCAAGGGGGUCAUCCCGACUUACCAACCCGAUGCAAACUGCGAAUACCGGAGAAUGUUAUCACGGGAGACACACGGCGGGUGCUAACGUCCGUCGUGAAGAGGGAAACAACCCAGACCGCCAGCUAAGGUCCCAAAGUCAUGGUUAAGUGGGAAACGAUGUGGGAAGGCCCAGACAGCCAGGAUGUUGGCUUAGAAGCAGCCAUCAUUUAAAGAAAGCGUAAUAGCUCACUGGUCGAGUCGGCCUGCGCGGAAGAUGUAACGGGGCUAAACCAUG
This 1149-nucleotide ribosomal RNA is filed under the name Escherichia coli. RNAcentral describes it as "partial 23S ribosomal RNA". It matches the Rfam family "Bacterial large subunit ribosomal RNA", at positions 1 to 1191 of the family's 2925-position model. The record is from RNAcentral. Lineage: Bacteria; Pseudomonadati; Pseudomonadota; Gammaproteobacteria; Enterobacterales; Enterobacteriaceae.